Long non-coding RNA from Heterocephalus glaber (naked mole-rat), 1411 nucleotides. The record is from Ensembl. Lineage: Eukaryota; Metazoa; Chordata; Mammalia; Rodentia; Bathyergidae.
AUUUUUUUUUUCUUCUUGUGGUGGCAGGAAUUGAACCCACCGAGCCACAUUCCCAGCUACUUUUAAAUCUUUUUACUUUGAGACAGAAUCUUGCUGAGUUGCCCAGGCUGGCUUCAAACUUGCCAUCUUCCUGCCUCAGCUCUGUAUCGCAGGCCUUUAAACAUGCAAAUCACCGCCACACUCUAGCUGAGCACGGCCCCUGCCCCCCUGCCUCCCGUCCUCCAUGCUGCGUCCCCUUUGCACAGCCCACGACCCUUGGGUCACAGCGCUGCCCCACCUCAUCUCAGAGAGCCCUGGGGACUCUAUCACCCUCGGGACUCUAUCGCCCUCCCUGCCUCUCCCCUCCUGGUCCCCCGUGUGUCCUUCCAGCCCUUGCUACUUGGCAACACAAUAUCUUACUUUCUUCUUCAUAGUUUCUCUUCCUGGCUGGUGACUUGCUCACCAGUCCCUGCACCCAGAGCCCGCUGUACCAAGCCUGCUCCCUGAGGGGUCAGUGUUGUCAAGCCCGGGUCAGCCCUGGGGUACAAGCCCAGGCUGCCCUCGAACUCACCAAAAUCCUCCUGUCUCAGCCUUCUGAGUGCUGAGAUCACAGCAUCUUCCUACUGCAGAUGGGGAAAUGGAGGCAUGAAGAGAGGAAAGUCAAAGCGUGAGGUCACACAGCUCCACACUGGCAGUGCCAGGCUGUUUGCCACACUUUCCUUGGCCAGCACCAAAGGUUCAAAGGGAACUUGAGGCAGCUUCCUCCACAACACACUCAACAACAGCUAAAAAUAGAGCAUGAGAUCAGAAACCAGAGGGGGGUAGGCAGAGGCAAUCCUGUCAGGAACUUGAGGGAUGAAGACAGAUCCUGGGCAGCAUCUUCUGCAGUGAGAAGCAGGAUCUGAAUCAUUGCCUCUUGGAAGUUGCAAAGCAUUCCUCAUCGAACUGCAGCACAAGAAACUGAAAACCGGAGUGCUGUGUAAUCCCAGCACUUGGGAGGCUGAGGCAGGAGGAUCGCCAUGCAUUCAAGGCCAACCUGGGCUACAUAAUGAACUCAAGGCCAGCCUGCACUGCAUGGCAAGACCUUGUCUAAUUAGUAAAUAAAUACAUAGAUAAAAAGUUGCAACCCAGCCAAAGCAGGGCUACGGACAAGUACUAGGGAAUCUCGGUCAUCAUGUUUUGUCUCUGAAAUGUCUGUGGCUGGGAUCUCCCUGCAUGGCCUGAGAUCUCUGCUGAGGCCCAGGCAGCAGAGCCUGGGGUUGGAGGAGGCUGUGAGCCCCAGAAGCCCCAACGAGAAGGGCGUUAGGCUGAACCCAAAGUUCCCCCCGAAGGGACCUGCGGCUCCUCUUAGGGCCCCCCGCCCUGCAAGUCCCCAGUGAGAGUCCAAGCCUGCAGCCCGGCCGGGAGUGCUGGGACAGGGCAGCCACCUGCC